GAUGAACGCUGGCGGCGUGCCUAAUACAUGCAAGUCGAGCGAACAGACGAGGAGCUUGCUCCUCUGACGUUAGCGGCGGACGGGUGAGUAACACGUGGAUAACCUACCUAUAAGACUGGGAUAACUUCGGGAAACCGGAGCUAAUACCGGAUAAUAUAUUGAACCGCAUGGUUCAAUAGUGAAAUACGGUUUUGCUGUCACUUAUAGAUGGAUCCGCGCCGCAUUAGCUAGUUGGUAAGGUAACGGCUUACCAAGGCAACGAUGCGUAGCCGACCUGAGAGGGUGAUCGGCCACCCUGGAACUGAGACACGGUCCAGACUCCUAAGGGAGGCAGCAGUAGGGAAUCUUCCGCAAUGGGCGAAAGCCUGACGGAGCAACGCCGCGUGAGAGAUGAAGGUCUUCGGAUCGUAAAACUCUGUUAUUAGGGAAGAACAAAUGUGUAAGUAACUAUGCACGUCUUGACGGUACCUAAUCAGAAAGCCACGGCUUACUACGUG
RNAcentral lists this ribosomal RNA (497 nucleotides) under uncultured bacterium. RNAcentral describes it as "partial 16S ribosomal RNA". It matches the Rfam family "Bacterial small subunit ribosomal RNA", at positions 28 to 507 of the family's 1533-position model. The record is from RNAcentral.